Molecule: transfer RNA, 72 nt
Filed under: Bos taurus (domestic cattle)
Lineage: Eukaryota; Metazoa; Chordata; Mammalia; Artiodactyla; Bovidae
Also listed under: 5 other names
Rfam family: tRNA
About the family: Transfer RNA (tRNA) molecules are approximately 80 nucleotides in length. Their secondary structure includes four short double-helical elements and three loops (D, anti-codon, and T loops).
Source: Rfam by way of RNAcentral
UCUCUGGUAGUCCAGUGGCUAGGACUCCACACUCCCAAUUUCGGGGUCCUGGUUCAAUCCCUGGUCAGGGAA